AUAAUGGGAGAAAGGAUAGAUGGAUUAAGCAGUAAAAAUUAAUAGUUUCUGCACUGCUGAACUAUACAGAGACACUAGACACAAAAGUACAACUUGUGUUCAAAGAUUAACUUUCAGGUGCUUGUUACUGCUGAGUAAAACCAGCAGUUCUCUAACUCCUUUUUUUGUGAGCUAAAAUGAGUCCAGAUUAAAUUUAAGAUAAUAACCCUGGCAAAUAUGGGCACCCAAGUUGAUGCGCUAAAAUGUUUUUACCAUGCACUCUGUGAAACUAGGAUGUCCAUAAGAUUCAAACCUGGAACUGAAGUGAUAAAACCACCUAACUCAUCUAGAUAUCAAUCUAAAAUCUAGCUAGGAACUAACUCAGUGUAGCAGGAGGCUUAGUGCUUCUGCUACUUUAAGAGAAGGCAGACUGCAGAUGGAGUAGUCACAGGUACUGCAGGAGGCAAUCAGGAGUCACAAGACCCAAAAGGGGGCUGGACUUGCAGGAUAUAAGCCCAGAGCCUCAGCUGGGGUGGGUGUCUGAUCCUGACAGCCAAGAUGUGAAGAACUCCUGAAUGGCAGGACUACAACCAAGCUCCUGGCAAACAACUAAACUGGGUAUUUCAGCUUCAUCAUCAGCUUGUAGUCUGAACUGCUGGGAAAGGUUGGUUUGCAACACAAGCAAGUUUCUCUACAGCCGCUGCAGAUGAAAGUGAGAUUGUCAUGUGGCUCCACAAGUUGGCACUUUAAAAAACGCAGACCCCCUAUCACAUGGCAAGAUGAAGCUGGCAGCACUGAAGCUCCUUAUGUGGGCUGUAGCUAAAUGGAAAUAAGUAGUCCUGGGAAAUCUGAAACCCUAAUGGAGUUCAUCUCAUUAAGUUAUUGUGUGUGUGCGCAUGCACGCGUGUGCUUGGAGCACUAAAAAGAAAUUGUUAAUAAAGCCUCCUUCAGGUGUUUGACAGAAGAUUUAUGGCAGAAGGAUUUCACAGCAUUCAUAGCCUCUAUUUAUCUUGAUAUAAGUUUACAUGGAACACAAUUUGCAUUUAUUUGUUUCAUAGACAUCUUAUGGUAUAUGCAGUUAUGAAAUUGAUGCUGUUAGUAAAGUGUAAUAUCUAGGGCUGUGUGAAAUUUCGACAGGUGUUUCGUUUCGAAGCUGUUUCAAUGCACUUUGAGCUCAAAACAGUAAAAUAGAAAUGAAACAAAAGGCUUCAAAACAGCUUCGAAACAAAACUGCUCCAUCCCUCAAGCCCAAGUUCUUUGCUCUUUCUCCCACUGGGCGUGUAACUGCCAGCUAAUCAUGAACAAUUGAGCUGCUACUUCAGGGCUGCCUGCUUCCCUUAAAGGGUCAGACCUGCCUGCUUGGAAAGUGCACCAAGGGAGCAGUCUCUGACAGCCCUCGACUUAUGAAUGGAAGGGGGGGUUCGCUCACUCCUUUCCCCACACACAUGUAUAAGCGCAUCCCAUCUGGCUCUGUGUUUUGCUGUUUGUGUACGGAAGCAUGACAUUUGUGGCUGGGGAUGCUGAUAAAGCAUGCAUAAUUCAAAAGAAUCUUAUUUCUAGAUGUGAAAUAUAUAGUCUAUUCCACAAUUUAUUUUUGUUUCCACAGUCUGUCAAACACAAAGUGUUAUAACUCUGGCUAUGUAGAGGUCAUUAUAAAUAAUUCUAUCUGCCACAUGCCCUCUUUGCAGUCCAAUGAAAGUUUCAUAUUCAUUUCUACUACAUACCAAUAUCUACUGGACAUAAAAUAGGCAACUGUAGCAACGAUGAUUAGUAUUAUGCAAAGAUAAAAACAAUUCCCUCGUUAAAAUGCAGCAUCCAAACAGCUUGGCUAAUAUUUGUCCUCUAAUCUCAAAUGCUAAUUGUGACUUUUUAAAUUGCAGCAACUAGGCCAGCAGCACAGUCUAACAAUACCUGAAAAAUGUGCACUGCACUAUUUCACAGCGGGGGUUGCAGCUAUGCAUAGCAUGUGAAAUGAAAGGCAUGUCACAUAUUGGUAUGUCAGCUGUGCCAUGUCACCCAGAAUGUAGCAUGGCAGAGCCUUGGUGACAUGCCACAGCUGAAAAGCCAGCAUGUGACAAACCCUGCUCUUCACUGAGGAGUAUGCCAGAUGCCAGGAAAUACUGCAGUCCCCUCUUAUGUUUUGUAUAAUCAAUUUCCAUGCUGUUGUGCUCUCUCAAAUGUGGUGUUUUGAAACAGGCAAAAUAAUGAUUAUCCAUACUAUAUGUAUGCAUUUUGAAUAAAAAAUGAAAACAAAGAACAUUACAUUUAUGAAUCAUUGUAAUCUAACCACUGAUUUCAGGGCCCUACAUUUUCCAAGGAAUGUGAGAAAUCUACAUGAUGUUGUGUGCACCAGAUUUUGUGUUUGGAUCUCUGAUUUAAAUGAAUAAUGUGUAAAAGUUCAUGAGGUGUGAAACUGCAUAUAGAUAGCUCCUUGCUGGUUUAUGCACAUGAGGAGGUUCAGGAGUGUAAAUGAUUUUUUCCAAGGUCAAUUCAAUUUAUGUCCACCAAGUAUGCUCUGAAAUGUCACUAGUUUUCGAUGGUAGCAUAUAGCUAAAGCUUUGCUUAAUUUUAAUUUACUGUUAAACCAUGCCCACUUUUGAAGACACCUCAUUAAAAUGUACGGGAUAUAUGGCUGUGGAAAUUCAUAGUUUCUGAAAGAUGGCAUACUGUUAUUAGGUUGUAAUUUAAAAAUAAAGACCUCUAGCCCCCAUGUCAUGCUUAGUCUUCUACACUCUUAAGAAUUGUGUAGUAGGGAUUUAACUGUAUAAUUUGGCAUUAAGAUGGGUUAAAAAAAUCAUAAGUCGGCUGUCUAAGGUAUGCCAAUGCAGUUUUUCAUAAUUGUUUCAAAAUUUACUAGCCCAUGUAUUUACUGUGCUCAUCUGCCU
Alligator sinensis (Chinese alligator) is the source of this 2864-nucleotide long non-coding RNA. RefSeq lists it as uncharacterized. The transcript has 3 exons. The record is from RefSeq and is a predicted model, not a curated record. Lineage: Eukaryota; Metazoa; Chordata; Crocodylia; Alligatoridae.